Molecule: ribosomal RNA, 249 nt
Filed under: uncultured bacterium
Lineage: Bacteria
Description: partial 16S ribosomal RNA
Rfam family: Bacterial small subunit ribosomal RNA
Source: RNAcentral
GAUCCUGGCUCAGGAUGAACGCUGGCUACAGGCUUAACACAUGCAAGUCGAGGGGCAGCAUGGGGUUUGCUUGCAAACCCCGAUGGCGACCGGCGCACGGGUGAGUAACGCGUAUCCAACCUUCCCGCGACUCGGGUAUAACCUGCCGAAAGGCAGACUAAUCCCCGAUGUCCUCCACUUUGGACAUCUUUUGUGGAGCAAAGGCUUCGGCCGGUUGCGGAUGGGGAUGCGUCCGAUUAGCUUGUUGGG